UGGUUUGAGAGAACGACCAGCCACACUGGGACUGAGACACGGCCCAGACUCCUACGGGAGGCAGCAGUGGGGAAUAUUGCACAAUGGGCGCAAGCCUGAUGCAGCGACGCCGCGUGGGGGAUGACGGCCUUCGGGUUGUAAACUCCUUUCGCUAGGGACGAAGCGUUUUGUGACGGUACCUGGAGAAGAAGCACCGGCUAACUACGUGCCAGCAGCCGCGGUAAUACG
RNAcentral lists this ribosomal RNA (228 nucleotides) under Apocalathium aciculiferum. RNAcentral's name for it is "partial Bacterial small subunit ribosomal RNA". It matches the Rfam family "Bacterial small subunit ribosomal RNA", at positions 288 to 527 of the family's 1533-position model. The record is from RNAcentral. Lineage: Eukaryota; Dinophyceae; Thoracosphaerales; Thoracosphaeraceae.